GGAGUGGGCAGUGAUUGUACACCGUGGUGUGCAGUAGCUGUUUUUCCUCCACAACUCUCUUCACUUUGUCAUGACAUCACCACCUGCCAUCCCGGGCAAAAGGACACAGGAAAUCUCAUCAUCUGAGAAUAAAUCACCAGCAUUCUUUUAGACAAACGGGAAGUUCAGCUGGUUCAGAGUGGGCUCUUGGAAGCCUCCUACCUCACUGACUGAGACCCCGUAUGGACGUGUACACCAACUCCUUAACACAGGGAAUCAGAUCUACACCUCGGUGGUGUCUAGUCAGUUAUCCCACAGAGUGUUUGAUGGUUGUUUUUAGUCAAAUAACAAUCACUAAAUAAUUAGAGAGUUUUUCCAUACCACUGUCACCAGUGUGCUUGCUCAUGGUGUUGUAAAGUCUAGACGUUACUCAUUCACAGCACUGUGAGGUAACUUUAUACCAAAAUUUGUUUCAAUGGUAAUAAAUCCAUCCAGCAUGU
Thalassophryne amazonica is the source of this 479-nucleotide long non-coding RNA. RefSeq lists it as uncharacterized. The transcript is spliced from 2 exons. The record is from RefSeq and is a predicted model, not a curated record. Lineage: Eukaryota; Metazoa; Chordata; Actinopteri; Batrachoidiformes; Batrachoididae.